GCGAGAGUGGCGGAAUUGGUAGACGCGCUAGAUUUAGGAUCUAGUGCCUUUUUUGGCGUGGGGGUUCGAGUCCCCCCUCUCGUA
RNAcentral lists this transfer RNA (84 nucleotides) under Fodinibius salicampi. Its description in RNAcentral is "tRNA-Leu". It matches the Rfam family "tRNA". Rfam says of the family: Transfer RNA (tRNA) molecules are approximately 80 nucleotides in length. Their secondary structure includes four short double-helical elements and three loops (D, anti-codon, and T loops). Lineage: Bacteria; Pseudomonadati; Balneolota; Balneolia; Balneolales; Balneolaceae. The record is from RNAcentral.